AUCCAAGGAAGGCAGCAGGCGCGCAAAUUACCCACUCCCGGAACGGGGAGGUAGUGACGAAAAAUAACAAUACGGGACUCUUUUGAGACCCCGUAAUUGGAAUGAGUACACUCUAAAUCCUUUAACGAGGACCCAUUGGAGGGCAAGUCUGGUGCCAGCAGCUGCGGUAAUUCCAGCUCCAAUAGCGUAUAUUAAAGUUGUUGCGGUUAAAAAGCUCGUAGUUGGAUCUCAGCUCGAGACGGAUGGUCCGCCUACCGGUGGUUACUGUCUGUUCUCAGCAUUCAGCCGGUUUCUCUUGAUGAUCUUCACCGGUUGUCUUGGGUGACCGGCAAGUUUACUUUGAAAAAAUUAGAGUGCUCAAAGCAGGCGUGAAAGCCUGAAUAAUGGUGCAUGGAAUAAUGGAAUAGGACCUCGGUUCUAUUUUGUUGGUUUUCGGAACACGAGGUAAUGAUUAAGAGGGACAGACGGGGGCAUUCGUAUUGCGACGCUAGAGGUGAAAUUCUUGGACCGUCGCAAGACGAACUACUGCGAAAGCAUUUGCCAAGAAUGUUUCCAUUAAUCAAGAACGAAAGUUAGAGGUUCGAAGGCGAUCAGAUACCGCCCUAGUUCUAACCAUAAACGAUGCCAGCCAGCGAUCCGGCUGUGUUCCUCAAAUGACACGCCGGGCAGCUUCCGGGAAACCAAAGCUUUUGGGUUCCGGGGGAAGUAUGGUUGCAAAGCUGAAACUUAAAGGAAUUGACGGAAGGGCACCACCAGAAAUGGAGCCUGCGGCUUAAUUUGACUCAACACGGGAAAACUUACCCGACCCGGACACAGGCAGGAUUGACAGAUUAAGAGCUCUUUCUUGAUUCUGUGGGAGGUGGUGCAUGGCCGCUCUUAGUUGGUGGAGCGAUUUGUCUGGUUUAUUCCGAUAACGAACGAGACCCUAGCUUACUAAAUAGACGUUCCGAUUCUUCUCAGUCGGACGCUCUUCUUAGAGGGAUAAGUGGCGUUUAGCCGCACGAGACAGGGCAAUAGCAGGUCAGUGAUGCCCUUAGAUGUCCGGGGCCGCACGCGCGCUACAUUGAAGGAAUCAGCGUGUGCUUUCCCUGUCCGACAGGACUGGGUAACCCGUUGAACCUCCUUCGUGCUGGGGAUAGGAGCUUGUAAUUGUUCUCCUUGAACGAGGAAUGCCUAGUAAGCGCGAGUCAUAAGCUCGUGCUGAUUAUGUCCCUGCCCUUUGUCCACACCGCCCGUCGCCACUACCGAUUGAAUGAUUUAGUGAGGGCAUCGGACUGGCGCUCGGAUUGGCUUUCGUCGAGCCGCGUGCCGGAAAGAUGUCCAAACUUGACCAUUUAGAGGAAGUGAA
Molecule: ribosomal RNA, 1348 nt
Filed under: Australomimetus sp. NS112
Lineage: Eukaryota; Metazoa; Arthropoda; Arachnida; Araneae; Mimetidae
Description: SSU rRNA
Rfam family: Eukaryotic small subunit ribosomal RNA
Source: RNAcentral